CGCUGGCGGCGUGCUUAACACAUGCAAGUCGAACGAGAAGAGAUGAGAAGCUUGCUUCUUAUCAAUUCGAGUGGCAAACGGGUGAGUAACGCGUAAGCAACCUGCCCUUCAGAUGGGGACAACAGCUGGAAACGGCUGCUAAUACCGAAUACGUUCUUUUUGUCGCAUGGCAGAGGGAAGAAAGGGAGGCUCUUCGGAGCUUUCGCUGAAGGAGGGGCUUGCGUCUGAUUAGCUAGUUGGAGGGGUAACGGCCCACCAAGGCGACGAUCAGUAGCCGGUCUGGGAGGAUGAACGGCCACAUUGGGACUGAGACACGGCCCAGACUCCUACGGGAGGCAGCAGUGGGGAAUCUUCCGCAAUGGACGAAAGUCUGACGGAGCAACGCCGCGUGAACGAUGACGGCCUUCGGGUUGUAAAGUUCUGUUAUACGGGACGAAUGGCGUAGCGGUCAAUACCCGUUACGAGUGACGGUACCGUAAGAGAAAGCCACGGCUAACUACGUG
Molecule: ribosomal RNA, 503 nt
Filed under: uncultured bacterium
Lineage: Bacteria
Description: bacterial SSU rRNA
Rfam family: Bacterial small subunit ribosomal RNA
Source: RNAcentral